AUAAGCGCGCCGCUUCGGGGCACCACAGACAUGGCUGAAGUUUGGUUGUCCUGCUGUCCACCUCCCGCCUUUUGAGAGCCUGAAGACCCAUCAUCUGUGCAUUACAGUGGCCCUGCGGCCGCUCAACUGGAGCCCUUGGCCCCGGAGGCGGAUGCGGGGGCACGGGGUGUCCCGUGGGGGUGGCGACUUCAGCCUCCGAGAAGCCCUGGGCCUGGGUUCAAGCAUGACUCGCCCACUUUCUAGGGCAUGUUUUGCCAGAGUCUGCUCCACAUCGCUUGGUCCUAUCCAUCCCCUCAAGCUUCACACCACUUGCUAACGGGUUGGCAGAAGUUGCUCCGUGCUCCCUUUCCAAACUGAAAUGCUGUCCAUCAAGGUGGUGAAGAGGAAUCGAAAUGAGGACAAUGCAGACAGAAAUCACCAAAAAUUGAUCAAGAAGGAAGAGGAAAACGAAGUGUAGAUCAAAGCCAAAGCUGGCAUGAAUGAAUAUAAGAUGACUCAUUCAAUGAGAAUUUGGAUGCUGGUGGAAAUCCAGGCUCCAGCGAUUGAACUCAGGUCAAGCCUGGCUGGCAAUGCCUGUACUUGCUGAGACAGCUCACCAUCCCCAAUGCGGGGUGUUGUUUUAACAUUUGUUGAUUUGAGUCGUGGGGGUGCACAUGCCAUAGCACAUGUGUGGAAGUCAGAAGAUGACUGGGAAGAGUUGGUUUUUUUUCCAUUUACAAGGUGAGCUCCGGAUGGCACUCAGCUUGCCAGGUGUAGUGAACACACCUUUACCUGCUGAGCCGUGUCACUGGGUCCAAAUGUCUUGUUUUUUUUUUUAAAUAAAAUUUUGUUUUUGUUUUCAUUUUUGAUAUUUUAUGUACCUUAGCUUGAAUUAAACUCUUAGCAUUUAACCUCUAUAACAGUAUAUGGAAUAAGUAUUCUUAUUCCUGUCUUGUGCAUAAUAAUAUUAAGAGUUAGAGAGGUCAAACUUUACUGAAGAAUUAGAGCUAUAACUUGGAAUAUGAUGCAAUAGCAGAGCAGUAACCAUGUGUGUGACCUUAAGUGUGGCAUCCUGAGCACCAAACACAAAACAAAAAAUGUAAAGAAACAGAACUGAGCCUGAACACAUAAAUACUCUGCAACAUGGCUUGUGCAGACCCCAUUUUCUUUCUUCUGUUUUUUGUUUGUGUGUUUGUUUUGUUUGCUUGUUGUUUAUUUUUGAGAUGGGUCUCAUUUCAUAGUCUUGGCUGACCUGGAAAUCUGUGUAGCUCAGACUGGCCUCAAAUUCCCUACAACCACCCACAUCUGCCUCGACCUACAUGAUAAUAAUUUCUUUUUUAAAAUGUGUAUGGUGUUUGGUCUGUAUUUAAUUCUGGGUACCAUGUGCAUGCCUAGUGACCAUGGAGACCUGAAGCAGCCAUGGAUCCUCUGGGAAUGGAGUUAAAGACUCUUAGGAGUUGCUGUGUGGAUGCUAGGAAUUGAAGCCAAGUCCUCUAGAAGAACAGCCAGUAUUCUUAACAGCUGAGCCAUCUCUCCAGCACCUGUAGAUCCCUAUGUUUUAAUUCAGAUAUGCAGAGUAGAGUUUCUCCAGUUCCCAACAGAUGAAGGUCACCAUCCUGACUGUCAGUGACGAUAACACAGUUGUUCUCUUCCAGCCCUUGCUGCCUUGUUGGCUGUGCACUUCGGCAGCCUGACCUUUCUGCAUCACCAUCAAUCUGCAAUGAUCUAUGAAAUAUGACAGUUGCAUUCAUAAGAAGUCACUGUGUGCCAAAUGACCGAGAACAUCUCCAGCAAGUAUAGAGUUUCUGGAAAGUAUUUUAGUGGCCGAAAGACCUUUCUCUUUUUCUAAAAAUGUUUGCUAUGUUCCUAGACUAAAAGUGAGACUAAAGGACACAGAAAAUCACUAAAAUAUACGUUUCAGCAUAAAUCAUCCAUAUUAGGUUUUUAUGUGUUGACAUAUUAAUUCCUUUUUACAUUGUUUAAGAAGACAGUACAGAGCUAUGAGAACUAUAUGAGGAAGGAUAACUGUUUACUUGUGAGUUUUGUUAACCUAUGUUACCUGUGUCACUUGAGAUUGGUGAGAGUUGAGACAUGAGUAGUAAAACCCAAACCAAAUUAUGCAGAAGAAAGCAGAAAAAGAAGCUCACAAAUAGCUUUCAUCGUCUUCUCUUCUUCCAGGCUAUGACAGCAUUCCUUACCUU
This is a long non-coding RNA of Mesocricetus auratus (golden hamster), 2180 nucleotides long. RefSeq lists it as uncharacterized. The transcript is spliced from 4 exons. The record is from RefSeq and is a predicted model, not a curated record. Lineage: Eukaryota; Metazoa; Chordata; Mammalia; Rodentia; Cricetidae.